RNAcentral lists this ribosomal RNA (676 nucleotides) under Serratia sp. 27ANAIII. RNAcentral's name for it is "bacterial SSU rRNA". It matches the Rfam family "Bacterial small subunit ribosomal RNA", at positions 78 to 748 of the family's 1533-position model. The record is from RNAcentral. Lineage: Bacteria; Pseudomonadati; Pseudomonadota; Gammaproteobacteria; Enterobacterales; Yersiniaceae.
GCUUGCUCCUGGGUGACGAGCGGCGGACGGGUGAGUAAUGUCUGGGAAACUGCCCGAUGGAGGGGGAUAACUACUGGAAACGGUAGCUAAUACCGCAUAACGUCUUCGGACCAAAGUGGGGGACCUUCGGGCCUCACACCAUCGGAUGUGCCCAGAUGGGAUUAGCUAGUAGGUGAGGUAAUGGCUCACCUAGGCGACGAUCCCUAGCUGGUCUGAGAGGAUGACCAGCCACACUGGAACUGAGACACGGUCCAGACUCCUACGGGAGGCAGCAGUGGGGAAUAUUGCACAAUGGGCGCAAGCCUGAUGCAGCCAUGCCGCGUGUGUGAAGAAGGCCUUCGGGUUGUAAAGCACUUUCAGCGAGGAGGAAGGGUUCAGUGUUAAUAGCACUGUUCAUUGACGUUACUCGCAGAAGAAGCACCGGCUAACUCCGUGCCAGCAGCCGCGGUAAUACGGAGGGUGCAAGCGUUAAUCGGAAUUACUGGGCGUAAAGCGCACGCAGGCGGUUUGUUAAGUCAGAUGUGAAAUCCCCGAGCUUAACUUGGGAACUGCAUUUGAAACUGGCAAGCUAGAGUCUUGUAGAGGGGGGUAGAAUUCCAGGUGUAGCGGUGAAAUGCGUAGAGAUCUGGAGGAAUACCGGUGGCGAAGGCGGCCCCCUGGACAAAGACUGACGCUC